UCCAGACUCCUACGGGAGGCAGCAGUGGGGAAUAUUGGGCAAUGGACGCAAGUCUGACCCAGCAACGCCGCGUGAAGGAAGAAGGCUUUCGGGUUGUAAACUUCUUUUAAGGGGGAAGAGCAGAAGACGGUACCCCUUGAAUAAGCCACGGCUAACUACGUGCCAGCAGCCGCGGUAAUACGUAGGUGGCAAGCGUUGUCCGGAUUUACUGGGUGUAAAGGGAGCGUAGACGGCCAAGCAAGCCAGGGGUGAAAGCCCGGGGCCCAGCCCCGGGACUGCUCUGGAAACUGCGGCGCUGGAGUACGGGAGGGGCAGGCGGAAUUCCUGGUGUAGCGGUGAAAUGCGUAGAUAUCAGGAGGAACACCGGCGGCGAAGGCGGCCUGCUGGACCGUGACUGACGUUGAGGCUCGAGAGCGUGGGGAGCAAACAGGAUUAGAUACCCCAGUA
Molecule: ribosomal RNA, 447 nt
Filed under: uncultured bacterium
Lineage: Bacteria
Description: partial 16S ribosomal RNA
Rfam family: Bacterial small subunit ribosomal RNA
Source: RNAcentral